UACGUAGGUGGCAAGCGUUAUCCGGAAUUACUGGGCGUAAAGCGCACGCAGGCGGCUUAGUAAGUUUGACGUGAAAGCUCCUGGCUUAACUGGGAGAGGUCGUUGAAGACUGCUAAGCUUGAGGUGAUGAGAGGGGUGUGGAAUUCCCGGUGUAGUGGUGGAAUGCGUAGAGAUCGGGAGGAACACCAGUGGCGAAAGCGGCACCCUGGCAUUAACCUGACGCUCAUGUGCGAAAGCGUGGGGAGCGAACGGG
Molecule: ribosomal RNA, 253 nt
Filed under: uncultured Caldilinea sp.
Lineage: Bacteria; Bacillati; Chloroflexota; Caldilineae; Caldilineales; Caldilineaceae
Description: partial 16S ribosomal RNA
Rfam family: Bacterial small subunit ribosomal RNA
Source: RNAcentral